RNAcentral lists this ribosomal RNA (347 nucleotides) under uncultured bacterium. RNAcentral's name for it is "bacterial SSU rRNA". It matches the Rfam family "Bacterial small subunit ribosomal RNA", at positions 1045 to 1389 of the family's 1533-position model. The record is from RNAcentral.
AUGGCUGUCGUCAGCUCGUGCUGUGAGGUGUUCGGUUAAGUCCGGCAACGAGCGCAACCCCUGUCCUUAGUUGCUACCACGUCAUGGUGGGCACUCUAGGGAGACUGCCGGCGCAAAGCCGCGAGGAAGGUGGGGAUGACGUCAAGUCCUCAUGGCCCUUAUGCCUAGGGCUACACACGUGCUACAAUGGUCGGUCCAACGAGCAGCCACCUCGCGAGAGGGAGCAAAUCUCUGAAAGCCGGUCCCAGUUCGGAUUGGAGUCUGCAACUCGACUCCAUGAAGCAGGAAUCGCUAGUAAUCGCGGAUCAGCAAUGCCGCGGUGAAUCCGUUCCCGGGCCUUGUACACA